Molecule: long non-coding RNA, 396 nt
Organism: Tetranychus urticae (two-spotted spider mite)
Lineage: Eukaryota; Metazoa; Arthropoda; Arachnida; Trombidiformes; Tetranychidae
Source: RefSeq, a predicted model, not a curated record
ACCUUCAGAAUCAUUUGGCUAUCAGUUGUUACAAUUCUUACACAAGUUACAUUCAACAUACAGUAUACAGUGUCAUCAUGAAAUCUAUUUCUAUGUAUCUUAUUUUCAUCUUGUUGGGCAUUCUAGUUUGUCCAUCUUUGUGUCUUGCAGUAACUCCCAAAGCAUUGACUCUAGAAGACCUUGGCUGCAAAACCAAUGCAGAUUGUACUCCUCCUAAGGAAUGUUCAGAUCUUGCAUCGCAAGGCGCUGGUAGUUGUGUUUUGCCCGAGUAUCUUUCAGGAUGAUGGCUUUAUUCCUUGAUUUCCUUUUACAGGAAAUUUUCAGCGAGAACUAUGGUUGAUAAUUCAUGUACUAAGACCUAAGAAUAAUAAAUAAAACAGAUAUUUUACUUUGAAA